CCUGCGGAAGGAUCAUUACUGAUUUGCUUAAUUGCACCACAUGUGUUUUUAAUUGAACAAAUUUCUUUGGUGGCGGGAGCAAUCCUACCGCCAGUAAGUUAUAACUAAACCAAACUUUUUAUUUACAGUCAAACUUGAUUUAUUAUUACAAUAGUCAAAACUUUCAACAACGGAUCUCUUGGUUCUCGCAUCGAUGAAGAACGCAGCGAAAUGCGAUACGUAAUAUGAAUUGCAGAUAUUCGUGAAUCAUCGAAUCUUUGAACGCACAUUGCGCCCUUUGGUAUUCCAAAGGGCAUGCCUGUUUGAGCGUCAUUUCUCCCUCAAACCCCCGGGUUUGGUGUUGAGCAAUACGCUAGGUUUGUUUGAAAGAAUUUACGUGGAAACUUAUUUUAAGCGACUUAAGGUUAUCCAAAAACGCUUAUUUUGGUAGUGGCCACCACAAUUUAUUUCAUAACUUUGACCUCCAAUCAGGGAGGACUACCCGCUGAACUUAAGCAUUUAA
RNAcentral lists this ribosomal RNA (502 nucleotides) under Candida tropicalis. RNAcentral describes it as "eukaryotic LSU rRNA". The stretch from base 159 to 312 matches the Rfam family "5.8S ribosomal RNA". The record is from RNAcentral. Lineage: Eukaryota; Fungi; Ascomycota; Pichiomycetes; Serinales; Debaryomycetaceae.